CAACCUCAACUUGAGCCGAAACGCUAUGGAAGGUAACAUUCCGGAUGUUUUCGGGCUGACAUCUUACUUCACGGUGAUCGAUUUGUCGCAUAACAAGUUAAGGGGUCCGAUCCCGAGAAGUUUGUCGGCGGCAUCUUACAUCGGGCACCUUGAUUUGAGUUACAACCACCUAUGCGGGCGGAUUCCGGCGGGAGCACCGUUCGAUCAUCUGGAAGCAUCCUCCUUCAUGUACAACGAUUGUCUUUGUGGUAAACCGCUUAGAGCUUGUUGAUGACAUGGUUAAUAAAUUUUUAUCUACCGCUUAUAUCUAUUGUAUUAUUGUAAUGAUAAUGUAAACCCUAC
Molecule: long non-coding RNA, 342 nt
Filed under: Gossypium barbadense (sea-island cotton)
Lineage: Eukaryota; Viridiplantae; Streptophyta; Magnoliopsida; Malvales; Malvaceae
Description: long non-coding RNA (GBAR_LNC003649)
Source: RNAcentral